RNAcentral lists this unclassified non-coding RNA (200 nucleotides) under soil metagenome. RNAcentral describes it as "partial contains internal transcribed spacer 2 and large subunit ribosomal RNA". The record is from RNAcentral.
UGCCUGUUCGAGCGUCAUUACAACCCUCAAGCUCUGCUUGGUAUUGGGCGUCACCCCCGGGUGCGCCUUAAAAUCCGUGGCGGCGCAUCUGGCUCUAAGCGCAGUAAUACUCCUCGCUACAGAGUCCUGGUGGAUGCUUGCCAGCAACCCCCAAUCUCACGGUUGACCUCGGAUCAGGUAGGGAUACCCGCUGAACUUAA